CAACCCAAGAGGGUUGUUAGAAUCACGAAUGAGAAAUGCUAGGUUCCUGAAACACUAUUCACACGACUAAUAGUUGGGAAAAUCUGAUUUUUGACUAUUAAUUGACACUAUAACUGCAUUUUUUUAAGGAAAUGUGUAAGUUAGGGUGUUUAUUGUAGAUCCUGUGAAAGAAAUUAGAAUGAUUGUGAUAUGGUGGCAGCCAACCUAGCUACUUGCUUAAAAUUUCUGCUUUGAUAUGAGGUAUUUGACAUGAUAAGUUAAGUUUCUGGUGGUAAAUGAGUCAACUAGUGUUUAUAAUAUAGAUUUUGAUUGAGAGACCUUGAUUUUCUUAGGCUGGCAGCAGCCAUUUUAGUGUAAUUCUUGAACUAAAUCUGUGAUAUGAAGUAAAUGAAGUUGUAAAUUGAGUUCUUGAUUGGAAAUGGGUUAAUCAUCGUAUAAUGUGUAAGUUUAACCAAACACUUAAGGUUUCUUUGAUAAAAUGGCAGCAGCUAUCUUCAAUUAUUUCCAUUGAUUUUUGUUUGACAUGGUACAAUUAAGGUUGUAAAUCUAAUUCUUGCAUGGAACUAGUUAGUUGGUGUGAUCCAUGAUUUUAAGAUAGAAAAACGCUAAUUCUUUUGGCGAAUUGACAGCAAUUACCUUGAUUUUUCUAUGUUGUUUUACAAGGAUAAAUAUAUGUAAAUGAACGUACUUUUAAGAUUCCAUGAUGAUUGAUGUAUAAAUAUUUAUUUAUGAUUUGAGAGACGAAUAAAAUGGGUUCGUUACCUGAAAUUUUGCUUGGCGAGAAUGAUGAUUCUUUUUUUUUAAAAUGAACUGAAAGAUAAAAGAUUAUUGCUUUGGUUGAAUCUUUUACUCUUAUCAGCGAGCUAAGCAAGGUUCAUUUUGAAAUUGUUAAUGAAUCGGCACAAUGGAAACUUUUGGAACCAUUGAAAUUCGAAACUAGAAUCAAAUCCUAAUUGAAAUGAAGAAUUUGAUGUUGAUUCCAAACCAAUUUAUAUAAAAAUAAUAAUUUUGAAAAUUGAUCGAGAAAAUUGGUUGGACUAUUAGAACCGAA
RNAcentral lists this long non-coding RNA (1051 nucleotides) under Jatropha curcas. RNAcentral's name for it is "long non-coding RNA (JCUR_LNC000770)". The record is from RNAcentral. Lineage: Eukaryota; Viridiplantae; Streptophyta; Magnoliopsida; Malpighiales; Euphorbiaceae.